CCUACGGGGGGCAGCAGUGGGGAAUAUUGGACAAUGGGGGCAACCCUGAUCCAGCCAUGCCGCGUGUGUGAAGAAGGCCCUCGGGUUGUAAAGCACUUUCAGUGAGGAAGAACGCCUGGUGGUUAAUACCCAUCAGGAAAGACAUCACUCACAGAAGAAGCACCGGCUAACUCCGUGCCAGCAGCCGCGGUAAUACGGAGGGUGCGAGCGUUAAUCGGAAUUACUGGGCGUAAAGCGCGCGUAGGUGGCUUGAUAAGCCGGUUGUGAAAGCCCCGGGCUCAACCUGGGAACGGCAUCCGGAACUGUCAAGCUAGAGUGCAGGAGAGGAAGGUAGAAUUCCCGGUGUAGCGGUGCAAUGCGUAGAGAUCGGGAGGAAUACCAGUGGCGAAGGCGGCCUUCUGGACUGACACUGCCACUGAGGUGCGAAAGCGUGGGUAGCAAACGGGAUUAGAUACCCUUGUAGUC
This 465-nucleotide ribosomal RNA is filed under the name Vreelandella stevensii. RNAcentral describes it as "partial 16S ribosomal RNA". It matches the Rfam family "Bacterial small subunit ribosomal RNA", at positions 338 to 795 of the family's 1533-position model. The record is from RNAcentral. Lineage: Bacteria; Pseudomonadati; Pseudomonadota; Gammaproteobacteria; Oceanospirillales; Halomonadaceae.